GUGGAGCCGCCUCAAGCUGGAGGAC
RNAcentral lists this non-coding RNA (25 nucleotides) under Cricetulus griseus (Chinese hamster). Lineage: Eukaryota; Metazoa; Chordata; Mammalia; Rodentia; Cricetidae. The record is from RNAcentral.